This 290-nucleotide unclassified non-coding RNA is filed under the name Hevea brasiliensis (rubber tree). The record is from RNAcentral. Lineage: Eukaryota; Viridiplantae; Streptophyta; Magnoliopsida; Malpighiales; Euphorbiaceae.
UAUGACAAAAGGGCACCAGCAGGCUAUGUUCGCAAUGUUUUGCAAGCUUUUCCAGCCUCUAAUGCUCCUGAGGACAACAUUGUCUCUGUCUUUAGUGAUGAUAAUGUGCAUGCAUGUUCUAUCAUGUAAGCAACUAAUUUUAAUUAGUCUUAUGAAUUUCUGAAAAAUGGGUUGCUUUUCUUUUUGUAAUCAAGACCAGUUCCUUGUAAUAAUAUAUGUUUGCAUUGCCUUUUCUUUUUAUAUGUGUGUUUGAGUUGAUGGGAGAUGAAAAAAAAUAAAUUUGAAUCCAG